Molecule: small nuclear RNA, 106 nt
Organism: Equus asinus (donkey)
Lineage: Eukaryota; Metazoa; Chordata; Mammalia; Perissodactyla; Equidae
Source: Ensembl
GUGCUCAUUUUGGCAGCACAUAUUUUAAAACUGAAGUAAUGCACAGAAGAUUAGUCUGGUCCCUAUGCGAGAUGGAAAUCAAAUCCAUGAAUCACUUCACACUUUU